Molecule: long non-coding RNA, 206 nt
Filed under: Chinchilla lanigera (long-tailed chinchilla)
Lineage: Eukaryota; Metazoa; Chordata; Mammalia; Rodentia; Chinchillidae
Description: lncRNA (ENSCLAG00000022869.1)
Source: RNAcentral
CCUGUCCACCGGCCGCCACCCCCUCAGACGUCUGCGCUCCGGAUCAGCAAGGAAGGGUUCCUGCCAGAAGGCUGAAGGGAUUACAAAUAUAACUUCCUGGGCCACGUUGAGGACUGGGAAGGACUCUCCAUAUCAACCAGAAAGACCCCGGUUGACCAAAAAGAAAAAAAUCCACAGCUGCCACCUGUCACCUCAAACGGGUGACU